Molecule: long non-coding RNA, 1536 nt
Filed under: Monodelphis domestica (gray short-tailed opossum)
Lineage: Eukaryota; Metazoa; Chordata; Mammalia; Didelphimorphia; Didelphidae
Description: lncRNA (ENSMODG00000043986.1)
Source: RNAcentral
AAAAUUAGUUACAAACCAACUGGAUAGGUGGAAAUUUGAAGAGACAUUGACUAUAUUUCUGUUUCCUACAGGUCAUCAGAUUAUGGGACUUCAUACAUCAAACUCAAUUUACAGCCUGGCAUCACCACAGUGAUUGACAACUUCUACAUAUGCCCUACAAACAAGAGAAAGUUUCAGAUGCAGACAGUUCUCUGAUAAUUCACCUGCCUUCUGUUUUGGGAACGAGACCUGGAGGUCCAAAAAUGGGCAGAAAUUCCCUUUCACAGUUCACUAGCCCAAUAAAGCCCUGCAGUGAGUAUCUUAUCCUACUUCUGCAUCUUUCUGUUCUUCUGAAGUGGCCAAAAAGGUUAUCUUUCAGAGCAGUGUAGCUGAAGUCCAUGUGAAGCUCCCCCUUAUUGCAGAAACCAAAUUAGGUUUUAUGUCUAGAAGUUUCCUAAUGAUUAUUGUUGAUCUGUCCAUAAAUGGAAGGAGGCACCUCUGAAGUUGGUAGGUUCAUUUUCUAUCCUUAAAGAUAUCAAACAGAAAUUAGAUACAUACUCGUCUAGAAUAUAAUAAUAAUAAUUCCAUAAUAGGAAUUCCUUUCAUUCAAAGAUUGGACUAAUUGGUUACUGAGAUCCUUUUCUAACUCAUAUUUACACAAUACUGUUAUUUUAUGAAACUUGACUAGAAGUCUUCAAAUGUCUCUUUGCAUUGUAAAUUUAUGAUUCAAAUGACUAGAUACUUCUUUAAAAAGUCAGUGCCAUCAACUGACAGUGGUCAUGCAUAAAUAGACAGUUGAAGAUAUUUUAUUUUCCUUUGUCUAUAUAAAAUAUGCUUUCAGUUUUUUUAAUAUGGAAACAUCAAGAGCUAACAAAAUAUAUAAGAAAAUCUCUCUCAAGUCUCCUGCUGAUCAAACUUAUUAGCCUUCCAUGCCUUAGUGGGCCACUUGAUGAAUACUGGGAGGCAAACAAAUGGAUCCUUUGCUGACCAGCCCUCCAAAAAAAGAACCUUUGAACUAAUCUAGAUGGUGCUCCACUAAAGUUGUUAAGAUCAUUGUCUUGCCUCUCCUCAAAACUUUUUUUGUUUUGGUAUGACUCAUAAGAAUGUGACCAACUAAUAUAACCUUUGAAAAGCCAAGGACAUGCCCACUGUAGCAUAAGGCUCUGUAAGGGAGGAAUUAGCAAAGAAUAACACCAAUGCCUUAGAAGUAUUAUUAUUGGACUUAAAGGUUUGGUGAAUAUGACAUAGGAAGAUAUAAAAUGAAAGAAUAUUUCUGGUCUUUCUUGACUGAUGGUCUUAACACCUUUGGAAAGCCAUAUGUCGAGGAGGGUGGCAUUAAAAGAAAUAUGAAGUAGAGAGAUUUGUCUAGUUCUGGUCUUUACCUUUUUCCAUCCAGCUGUGUUCUAAAUUCUCAGACCCCCAUUCAAAGGAGAUAGUGAGCUUCAACUUGGGAUAGAAGAAAGAGGGAGUUGAUUUUGAUAAAUAUAGAAACUGUUCUUAUUCUCAUUAGAGGGGGAAAUGCAAUAAAACAAGUAAUUUUUUUUUCCUUUUUGGCCA